This 309-nucleotide ribosomal RNA is filed under the name uncultured bacterium. Its description in RNAcentral is "partial 16S ribosomal RNA". It matches the Rfam family "Bacterial small subunit ribosomal RNA", at positions 504 to 809 of the family's 1533-position model. The record is from RNAcentral.
AGAGACAGCAGCCGCCGCGGUAAUACGUAGGUGGCAAGCGUUGUCCGGAAUUAUUGGGCGUAAAGCGCGCGCAGGCGGCCUAUCCAGUCUGUCUUAAAAGUUCGGGGCUCAACCCCGUGAUGGGAUGGAAACUAGUAGGCUAGAGUAUCGGAGAGGAAAGCGGAAUUCCUAGUGUAGCGGUGAAAUGCGUAGAUAUUAGGAAGAACACCAGUGGCGAAGGCGGCUUUCUGGACGAGAACUGACGCUGAGGCGCGAAAGCCAGGGGAGCGAACGGGAUUAGAUACCCCUGUAGUCCCUGUCUCUUAUACA